GAUGAAGAACGUAGUGAAAUGCGAUACGUAAUGUGAAUUGCAGAAUUCAGUGAAUCAUCGAAUCUUUGAACGCAUAUUGCGCUCUCUGGUAUUCCGGAGAGCAUGCUUGUUUGAGUAUCAGUAAACACCUCAACUCCCCUUUCUUUUUUUGAAAUGGGAGCUGGACUUGAGUGAUCCCAACGCUUUUCUCACCGAAAAGUGGCGGGUUACUUGAAAUGCAGGUGCAGCUGGACUUUUCUCUGAGCUAAAAGCAUAUCUAUUUAGUCUGCCUAAAAAACAGAUUAUUACCUUUGCUGCAGCUAACAUAAAGGAGAUUAGUUCUUGUGCUGACUGAUGCAGGAUUCACAGAGACAGCUUCGGCUGGCCUUUGUAAACUCGAUCUCAAAUCAAGUAAGACUACCCGCUGAACUUAAGCAUAUCAAUAAGCGGAGGA
RNAcentral lists this unclassified non-coding RNA (433 nucleotides) under soil metagenome. Its description in RNAcentral is "partial contains 5.8S ribosomal RNA, internal transcribed spacer 2, and large subunit ribosomal RNA". The stretch from base 1 to 120 matches the Rfam family "5.8S ribosomal RNA", at positions 35 to 154 of the family's 154-position model. The record is from RNAcentral.